AGGACCACACCUUACAGACCGCAAGGAAAUGGGCAGUGUGAACGUUUCAACCCUACAUUGCACAAUAUGCUGCGCACGCUGCCAGUGGAGAAGAAGAGGGACCGGACGUUGUACCUCCCACAACUUAUCUUUGCCUACAACACCACCAUACACCAAUCAACUGGUGAGUCGCCUUACCUGCUGAUGUUUGGUCAAGAUCCACAGUUGCCGGUGGACUUCUUGCUAGGGAGAGUAACAGACUCCACUGCAGGUACGGUGGACCACUGGCUUGGCGAACACCAGAGGCGACUACGAGCAGCCUAUGCCGGGGCAAGACAUCAAAUGCAGGGGGCUGCACAAGGAGAGAGGAGAGACACGACCAAAAUGUUGACGAAGGGCUGACCGUGGACCAGUUGGUGUAUCUGAGGGACCACAGCGUAAGGGGAAGAAACAAGAUCCAGGAUCACUGGAACCCAACACCCUACAGAAUUUUGAAAGCGCCAAUAAAUGUUGGAUCUGUAUAUACUGUGGCUCCCGUCGAUAACCCUAACCAAACUAAGCAGGUGCAUCGAACAAUGAUUAGACCUGUUCCCGGGAAUGCUCACCAUAUCCGCCCUCCCCAAGAUGAGUAAAGAAUCACGGUGGAAGCUGCUCCUGAGGAGGAAGAACUUGAAGAAGUGUGGAUUGUGAAAGGAAGGCCACUGGCCUCAGAAGACCUCAACCCAGUGGAAGCGGAGCCUCCUUGCAGGGUCGCCAGUGAGGUGGAAAUGCAGUUUGGAGUGACCCCCGAUCCACCGGGACUACCAACAGACCACUCUGCAAGGGAAGGGACGGGCCAGCCAAGCCGCCCUCAAGCUCUAAUGUUUCUACGGACAACCCGGGUGACAGUGGGCAAACGUUCAUCGCUUGCCACAGACAACCGUGAGUGGGCAGGGGGCUACCGUUUUAGGUCCCCUUAGUCUUAAGUCAGGGAGGUGAGUCUUACCCUCGGGACAAGGAUAAAAGUAGUGGGGGUAGAUGUGACGGGUAGUGUCAAGGGGUUGGGCUGACGUCCUCAAUAGGCGCCCUAUUUUACGGGCCGUCUCCCGUUCUCUAGCAGUCCGCUGAGAGGAGAGUAGCAGGUAGGGCGCUAACUGGUAGGUUGUUUGUGAUGGGGGAAAUUGGCAGCUCACAGAUCUCAACCUUGCAGGUUUUGCAGGCCGAGCAGAGUCCCUUCGGACGUCGUUGGGGAGGGUUUAGCUCCUCAGCCUUUCCAGGUGGCGCACAAACUGCUGUUUUGGCGUAUUCAGAGUAAUCACGUACGGGAAGCAGGAAGGCGCAGAAUACCACAAACAUCUUUGCACCAAUAGAAAGAUCCCACAGAAGAAAAUGUUCCACUUGACUGGCCAAUCACAUUGAACACUUUGUCUUCAAAGGCAUCACAUCUUUGGGUAAAAUCAGUCUGUCUGUUAACUUUCGGUCAUCAUCACUCAUGGACGGGCUGCACACUUUUCUAGUCGCUCUCUUAGGAGUUGCAUCCUGCAGUCAUGAUUGGAUCUCUGGAUCAGUGACAGUCAGACCAGGAGACAACAUCACGCUCUACUGUGAUUGUAAACUAUCAACUGGAGUAUCCAUAGUGUGGUACAGGAACUGCUCUCAUGAGAACCAGCCUCCUCUCGUCCU
Molecule: non-coding RNA, 1641 nt
Organism: Gasterosteus aculeatus aculeatus (three-spined stickleback)
Lineage: Eukaryota; Metazoa; Chordata; Actinopteri; Perciformes; Gasterosteidae
Source: RefSeq, a predicted model, not a curated record